Non-coding RNA from Taeniopygia guttata (zebra finch), 991 nucleotides. Lineage: Eukaryota; Metazoa; Chordata; Aves; Passeriformes; Estrildidae. The record is from RefSeq and is a predicted model, not a curated record.
GGUGCACUCUGUGUUCUUUGGGUCUCUCAGUCCUUUCUUCUCGACAAAAGCUCUCUCUCCCUGUCCUGUCCCCUCGAUUGUCACGUCCUGUCCUGUGUCAUGGGUGUCUGCACAUAUUUGUCCCAGAGCUGCUCUGCCCUGCUGCAUAGCCUGUAAUAGCACAAGUCCUGGGGACUUGAAAUUGGUAAUGCAGGGUGUAGUUGGGCUCUAGCUUUGUUGAUUGCCCUAUAAUUUUUAGUGCUGUUAAGUUGUCCUGCAGCUGUUUUACACUAGUCCUAACAUCCUUUCAGAUGCAGACAGUUCAAAUCAGUGGCAGCGAGCCCCAGUCCUGGGUGAGGAUGUUGCCGUGACAGGUCAGUCAUUGUUUGCAUUUGCAGGGGAAGCCUAAAUGCUGACUGUGUUACAGUGGUGUUCUUUGCCUCUAUUUUUAGGAUGUCCGGGCAGAUAGCAGCAGUGAAGGCCCAGUGUCCAAGGGAAUCAUCUCGGAGUGCACAUACCUCUGUCACCAACUGGCUGAUGGACCAGGUUUCAUGCACUUGUGAUCUCGCUGGAAGCAUUGCAGGACCCUGUGAUGGACCUUCCAAUUUUGCAUUUCAAGGUCCCAUCCUGGUAGCCCAGAGGAAUGGCUGAGGAGUUGCAGUGUACCCUGCAAUGACGGCGUCAGAAUCCAAGCACGCCCGAAGCGUGCAGGCCAAGAACCCGGGCAUUCUGAGGAGGAUGGUGAGUAGCAGAAUUAUCAGGUUUUGGCCAAUGUACUGUUAAGACUGUGCACUGAUGUUUGGUUUUCUUUCUCUUGGUGAACCAAGAGGUGACAGCUGGAACUUAGCAGGCAGGCAGACGGCCUUCUUCUGCAGCCAACAGGGAUUUGCAUCCCCAGAUGCGUGCAAGAUAAGUGGAAGAUGCAGACAGUUCAAAUCAGUGGCAGAGAGCCCCAGUCCUGGGUGAGGAUGUUGCCAUGAGCAGGAGGUCCAGGCAGAUAGCAGCAGUGAAG